CGAAAUGCGAUAAGUAAUGUGAAUUGCAGAAUUCAGUGAAUCAUCGAAUCUUUGAACGCACAUUGCGCCCCCUGGUAUUCCGGGGGGCAUGCCUGUUCGAGCGUCAUUUCACCACUCAAGCCUCGCUUGGUAUUGGGCGACGCGUUCCGCCGCGCGCCUCAAAUCGACCGGCUGGGUCUUCCGUCCCCUCAGCGUUGUGGAAACUAUUCGCUAAAGGGUGCCGCGGGAGGUCACGCCGCAAAACAACCCCAUUUCUAAGGUUGACCUCGGAUCAGGUAGGGAUACCCGCUGAACUUAAGC
RNAcentral lists this unclassified non-coding RNA (300 nucleotides) under plant metagenome. RNAcentral's name for it is "partial contains 5.8S ribosomal RNA, internal transcribed spacer 2, and large subunit ribosomal RNA". The stretch from base 1 to 106 matches the Rfam family "5.8S ribosomal RNA", at positions 49 to 154 of the family's 154-position model. The record is from RNAcentral.